AACCCAUGGUGAGGGCACCUUCUCAAUAAGUCUUUAUACCUCUCACAUGCAUCAUAUAAAGUUUCUAAAUCUAUUUGCACAAAAGACGAGAUAUCGUUUCUCAACUU
This is a non-coding RNA of Gossypium hirsutum (cotton), 107 nucleotides long. The record is from Rfam. Lineage: Eukaryota; Viridiplantae; Streptophyta; Magnoliopsida; Malvales; Malvaceae.